Molecule: long non-coding RNA, 626 nt
Organism: Austrofundulus limnaeus
Lineage: Eukaryota; Metazoa; Chordata; Actinopteri; Cyprinodontiformes; Rivulidae
Exons: 3
Source: RefSeq, a predicted model, not a curated record
AUCUACUCCAACGCAAUUUCGUGCUUGUUUGGCUUUUAGCGUGUCCUGAUGCAUGAUCAGUAAUCCAUGUAGAUCAAUCUAACAAGGCUGAAUCAGAUCCACGACGCUGGUUAAAUGUGCUUAAUGUUAUGUGAAGUAUUUUUGCUUUACGAGUUAAUUUCAAUUGUCACUAAUGCCUCUCGAUGAAACCAUUGACAGAUACUGAAUACGAAAAACAAAAAUAGCAAUGUGCUCAUAAGUUUAUGAUGCUGUCGUAUUUUUUUUAUUAUUUGCCAUUUACUUUUUUAUCAUCAUUAUUUUUACAAGCGCGACUCAGAAAAUUACGAGGUGCAGUGAAUGCAGCACAACGAAAGGCUUUUUGGUGGCACGCAAACUGCGGCUGUGAAGAGUUUGGCGCCGUUUGCUGGAGUAAACGAUGAACUGAUGAUUUAAUGGACUAACUAUGACCCAUGAUCGGACCGUGGUCAGUGGCCAAGGCCCCCCUCUGUGUCUCCCACGAUGACUGCUUGUGGGAUGUUACAUCUAAGACUAUUGCAGCUGUUCAUGUUCCCACCCAGGCUCCAAAGACAGUUAUYAACCAACAUGACUCCAGGCUUCUGAAAAGAGCUCGGUGACCACAGGGCACA